This 405-nucleotide ribosomal RNA is filed under the name uncultured bacterium. RNAcentral describes it as "bacterial SSU rRNA". It matches the Rfam family "Bacterial small subunit ribosomal RNA", at positions 354 to 776 of the family's 1533-position model. The record is from RNAcentral.
GUGGGGAAUAUUGCACAAUGGGGGAAACCCUGAUGCAGCGACGCCGCGUGAGCGAAGAAGUAUUUCGGUAUGUAAAGCUCUAUCAGCAGGGAAGAAGAUGACGGUACCUGACUAAGAAGCCCCGGCUAACUACGUGCCAGCAGCCGCGGUAAUACGUAGGGGGCAAGCGUUAUCCGGAUUUACUGGGUGUAAAGGGAGCGUAGACGGACUGGCAAGUCUGGAGUGAAAAUCCGGGGCUCAACCCCGGAACUGCUUUGGAAACUGUCAGCCUGGAGUGCCGGAGGGGUAAGUGGAAUUCCUAGUGUAGCGGUGAAAUGCGUAGAUAUUAGGAGGAACACCAGUGGCGAAGGCGGCUUACUGGACGGCAACUGACGUUGAGGCUCGAAAGCGUGGGGAGCAAACAGG